CGCCGGGUAACCUGUAGCGCAGUGGUCAGCGCAGUCGGCUCACAACCGAUUGGUCCCGGGUUCGAAUCCCGGGCAGGGCGA
Non-coding RNA from Cherax quadricarinatus, 81 nucleotides. Lineage: Eukaryota; Metazoa; Arthropoda; Malacostraca; Decapoda; Parastacidae. The record is from the annotation of a RefSeq genome assembly.